CUGGAAACUAGAGUACAAGUUACUGCAGCUUGAAAAAUUAACUCAAUUACACAGGCGAUAUAAAUAUAAGAAUAGAUCAUCAGAUUUUUCUCAGCAAAACAUUCAUUUCCCAAUAUUGCUGUGUAUUUUACUUCAGUGACCACCGAAUAUUACAAAAGCCUUAAAUAGUUCCUUUCAAAAGGGAAGGGGGAGAAGGUAAAUAAGAGAUGGCAGAACCUGAUGAUUUAACAAAACCACACCCCCCCUUCCCCACCUUCAAAAGGGAAGGGUGAAAAGAACAUGCUUAAGAGAUCAACAUGGACGCCUAUGCCUCUCCCACUACAUAUUCUACA
This 332-nucleotide unclassified non-coding RNA is filed under the name Hevea brasiliensis (rubber tree). Lineage: Eukaryota; Viridiplantae; Streptophyta; Magnoliopsida; Malpighiales; Euphorbiaceae. The record is from RNAcentral.